UCCCGGAAGGGGGAUUAAACAUUCUUAAUUUAUUGAUGGCUUCAUUGAUAUUAAAAUUACGAUGGUUGAGGAUGAGAUGCUCUGAUAGCUAGUUGGUAGUGUAAUGGACUACCAAGGCGAUGAUCAGUAGGGGAACUGAGAGGUUGAUCCCCCACACUGGCACUGAGAUACGGGCCAGACUCUUACGGGAGGCAGCAGUAGGGAAUAUUGGACAAUGGGUGCAAGCCUGAUCCAGCCAUGCCGCGUGCAGGAAGAAGGCCUUCUGGGUUGUAAACUGCUUUUGCCAGGGGAUAAAAAGCCCAUGCGUGGGAAAUUGAAGGUACCUGGUGAAUAAGCCACGGCUAACUACGUGCCAGCAGCCGCGGUAAUACGUAGGUGGCAAGCGUUGUCCGGAUUUAUUGGGUUUAAAGGGUGCGUAGGUGGUCUAUUAAGUCAGUGCUGAAAUAUCCCGGCUUAACCGGGAGGGUGGCAUUGAUACUGAUGGACUUGAAUGGAGUCGAGGUAGGCGGAAUUGACGGUGUAGCGGUGAAAUGCUUAGAUAUCGUCAAGAACACCGAUAGUGUAGACAGCUUACUAGGCUCUUAAUUGACACUGAGNCAC
This 600-nucleotide ribosomal RNA is filed under the name uncultured soil bacterium C0210. RNAcentral's name for it is "bacterial SSU rRNA". It matches the Rfam family "Bacterial small subunit ribosomal RNA", at positions 149 to 754 of the family's 1533-position model. The record is from RNAcentral.